Molecule: long non-coding RNA, 398 nt
Organism: Ictalurus punctatus (channel catfish)
Lineage: Eukaryota; Metazoa; Chordata; Actinopteri; Siluriformes; Ictaluridae
Source: Ensembl
UUCAUUCAACAACAUACACAAAUCUUUAGGGGUAUCAACCCCUAAAAAUAUUCCUUUUUCACAGAACUCUUUUGUGUGUAUCGUGUGCUUUGUGUUCUCGUCUGUUUGUGUCUGUCCUCCUUCUCUCUAGGAGGAGCUGCUGUAUAACCGAGCAGGGAAGCUGUGCGUGAUGUACAGGGAUCUUACUGGGAAUGAAGUAUAAAAGAGUUGUCUCUUCUGAUGUUGUGGGUCGGACGGAGCCUGGAGAGUAUCCCAAGGGACACAGGGCAGGGGACACCCUGGACAGGGGGACACAGACUAUCGCAGUGCACAAUCAUACACUAGAGAUGACAAUGAGCCUACAGCACAUGUCUUUGGACUGGGGGAGGAAACCAAAGUACACGGAGAAAACCCCUGAA